RNAcentral lists this ribosomal RNA (774 nucleotides) under uncultured bacterium. RNAcentral describes it as "bacterial SSU rRNA". It matches the Rfam family "Bacterial small subunit ribosomal RNA", at positions 8 to 796 of the family's 1533-position model. The record is from RNAcentral.
AGAGUUUGAUCCUGGCUCAGGACGAACGCUGGCGGCGUGCUUAACACAUGCAAGUCGAACGGUGAAGGAAAGCUUGCUUUCUGGAUCAGUGGCGAACGGGUGAGUAACACGUGAGCAAUCUGCCCUUGACUCUGGGAUAAGCGUUGGAAACGACGUCUAAUACCGGAUACGACCCUCGGAGGCAUCUCCUGGGGGUGGAAAGAAUUUUGGUCAAGGAUGAGCUCGCGGCCUAUCAGCUUGUUGGUGAGGUAAUGGCUCACCAAGGCGACGACGGGUAGCCGGCCUGAGAGGGUGACCGGCCACACUGGGACUGAGACACGGCCCAGACUCCUACGGGAGGCAGCAGUGGGGAAUAUUGCACAAUGGGCGCAAGCCUGAUGCAGCAACGCCGCGUGAGGGACGACGGCCUUCGGGUUGUAAACCUCUUUUAGUAGGGAAGAAGCGAAAGUGACGGUACCUGCAGAAAAAGCACCGGCUAACUACGUGCCAGCAGCCGCGGUAAUACGUAGGGUGCAAGCGUUGUCCGGAAUUAUUGGGCGUAAAGAGCUCGUAGGCGGUUUGUCGCGUCUGCUGUGAAAACCCGAGGCUCAACCUCGGGCCUGCAGUGGGUACGGGCAGACUAGAGUGCGGUAGGGGAGAUUGGAAUUCCUGGUGUAGCGGUGGAAUGCGCGAUAUCAGGAGGAACACCGAUGGCGAAGGCAGAUCUCUGGGCCGUAACUGACGCUGAGGAGCGAAAGCAUGGGGAGCGAACAGGAUUAGAUACCCUAGUAGUCC